Panicum virgatum (switchgrass) is the source of this 2603-nucleotide RNA transcript. RefSeq lists it as uncharacterized. The transcript is spliced from 7 exons. The record is from RefSeq and is a predicted model, not a curated record. NCBI's taxonomy places the organism in Eukaryota, Viridiplantae, Streptophyta, Magnoliopsida, Poales, Poaceae.
CAUCCGGAGGUGCGCCGCCACAGGAAUCGCCUCCGCCGUCACGGCUGUGGCCACCUGCAGCUUGCUGGAUGGCCUCCGCCGUUGUGGCUGUGGCCUGGCGCAGACACGGGGAGCGGCGAUUGAGUUGUUGGUGAGGACGUGCUGCCCAAAUCCAAAUCGUGGCCAACAAACGUCAUCCGCCUCCACAAAGGAAUCUCCAGCAGACUAUAUUUACAUCAAACAAAAUGGUGGAAAAAAGAGACAAUAGAUCAAGGUGUUCAGACAAUGCAGGCAAAAUAGAGGAACCAGCUCUGUCAUGCCAAAAUAAACGGACCAGCAGUGGCCCAGCGCGGCAACGCCGCGCGUCCUUUCUAGUUUACUACUAAAGCAUGCUAAUAAUAUACCGUAACACCAAUCUGCACUACUGGAAUCUGCUACUUCGCCGUGUGCCUGAGGCGCACGGCGAAGGCCAUCCAACACACGGCGAAGAUCGCUAUGUAAAAACCUCAAAUAGGUAACACGACAUUGGUAACGGGCUAACGUGGCCCGUUACCAAAAAUAUUAAAGGUAACAAACGUUAUUAAUGUCCGUUACCAAUGAGUCUACGUCCGUUACCUACAAGGCCUCUAAAUCACAGCCCAAUCUUAUUUGUGGUAACGGACCACAAAAUGUCUGUUACCCAUCGCUAGUUCCGGACCCGAAUUUUUAUUUCAAUCACGUUAAUUUGUUACCUCUCGGGUCUGCCCCCUCCCCUCCCCUCCCUCUCCCUCUCGCAGACUCACCCUAUCCUCUCCCUCCCCACUGCCACGACCCUGGCCCCCCUAAUGCUCGCGUAGCUCCAUUAGCCGAAGAUGAAACUUAUCCAGCGAUAACUUGCGGCAAGACUGUUGACCCCCUAAAUCACUUGCCCCCAACGAUCAAAUCCUGCCUCCGCCCCUGCCCCCUCCCCUGUGCCUCCGCCGGCCUCCCCCUCCCCCGCCUUCGACCGCCCCCUCCGGCAGCCGACGCGCAUCACCUGGCUGCUCGUCCUCGCCGGUCCUCUGUUCUCCUUCGAUGGAUCGGACUGACUCUAACCUAGGGGUCAGGCGGUUCGAUCCACUGCGUCGCAUCUCCCUUCCGAGCAGCGGCGGCGGCAGCGGGCGCUCACGGAGACGCCGCUAGCGCUAGGUUCUCCGCCGGUGACCACCCACGAAGAUCCCUGCCGCGCUCCACCGUCUCGUCGAGCCCAUCCACUCCGGCAGCUGCCCCAUUCCCCGCCGACUGCCCUGUGCCACCAGUGCCUAUUGCGUCAUCCUCGUCGGUGCCUUCGAGAGCUUCUACAGGUCGGUCUCCUCCCUGAACCAGCAGCUUACAGUUCAUGGUUGCGAUUGACCAAUUGUGAAGCUCCAUUAUUGGUACUGAACUCCUUAUGCUCUAUUUAUCUAUUUCUGGUGAUUUAAUUUGACGGCCAUGAACCUUGAUUUCUAUUCUAUUCUGUACAUUCUAGAGUAUGUCUCUUGAUUCUUAACCUUGACUUCUCAAAUUACAUGUGGAUUAAUUUGGUACUUUGGCCAUUUGCUACUUUAAGGCAGCAAUUUUGUUCUAUGCAACUGUCAGAUUUCAUUCAAUUCUUAUGGAAAUUAUGGAAAAUUAGUACUACUUUCAAUCUUGGAUUUCCUGGUUCAUGGAACUUGUGAUUCCUGAAACUUGCGUACGUGCAGGGUGGAGUCCUCUGCUAAUCCAGGUGCCUGUUUAUUUCUGAUGUGUAAAGCUGAGGCCUGAGGAAGGAAGCAAAAUGAAAAUUGACUUUGUGAAUUCAUUUGCUUGAUUACACUUUCUCCAAAAUUAUACAUUCGACAAGCAUUGCAAUGUAGCUAGCAAGUGCAUUCGACACACAUGUUCUUUAGGCUUGAAUGCAAGGAGUUGUACUUGUUAUGUUAUCACAACAAUUUUCAUUUUUCAUAGCUGUUUUACUUUGCUGAAAUAUAAUAUGCUCUGCUACUAGCCUGCAACUCGUUUGCCCUGAUCUCAUCUUUUGUGAUCCAUUUAUUUGUGUAGGGUGCUCACAAAUUUGACGUGCUGAAUAGUCUCAUUGGCUACUCAAUCAUGGGAGCUAAUAUUCAUCAUAUUUUCUAUUUCUGUCCAAUACUAGUAGUACCCAAGCUGCAGCUUCAGAGGGAGGAUCGCCUUGCUACAGCCUUGCCUCCAGGUGGACCUACAUAUAAAGGAUGAGGAGUCCUGGAUCUUAAUGUGCAGUACUGAACAAUCUGAGGAUGGGCAUUUGUUGAUGUUAACUACGGUGGAAUCUCGUGUCUUCUACUCAUUACAUAUGUAUUGCAAUGAACUAUAUAUUUGCAGUGAUGCUUAUUUUUUUUCAUAGAAUACUUGAGCUGAGGCAUUUGCAGUUAGUAUUUUUUGUGAUGUAGAUCAAUUUUAGUAUGCCUUUGCUUCAAUUUUAGUCAAAUUGGGCCUCUGGGCAUGUACAACUACUUGUGAAUGCAGCUAUCUUUUUUCUUUUUUCCAUUAGAGGUUGCAGUAGUGCGUGAAUGUAACUAUAUACUCAUUAGAGGUGAAUGUGAUCUGAGUGUAUGGAUGUAACUAUAUGUAUGCAUGUAUAAAAUAAAAGAAUAGAAUGUAUUUUGAUU